This 86-nucleotide transfer RNA is filed under the name Acidobacteriota bacterium. Its description in RNAcentral is "Acidobacteria bacterium tRNA-Leu". It matches the Rfam family "tRNA". From Rfam's summary of the family: Transfer RNA (tRNA) molecules are approximately 80 nucleotides in length. Lineage: Bacteria; Pseudomonadati; Acidobacteriota. The record is from RNAcentral.
GCCGGGGUGGCGAAACUGGCAGACGCACAGGACUUAAAAUCCUGGGUCCUUCACAGGACGUGCGGGUUCGAUCCCCGCCCCCGGCA